RNAcentral lists this transfer RNA (76 nucleotides) under Burkholderiaceae bacterium. RNAcentral's name for it is "tRNA-Asn". Lineage: Bacteria; Pseudomonadati; Pseudomonadota; Betaproteobacteria; Burkholderiales; Burkholderiaceae. The record is from RNAcentral.
GCGUCUUUGGCUGAGUGACCCAAGCGGCUAGCUGUUAACUAGCAUUACAGUGGUUUGAUUCCACUAGGACGCGCCA